UUGGUAGCCAGUUCUUUAGUCUCGCCUCCGAAAGCAUCAUGAAACAUCACAAACAAAUUAAGUCCCCAUCAGGCUAAGGAACCUCUGAUGCCUAAGUCAGAUUACCUCAAUAGAAUAGAGGAGGUUCUGUAGAGAAGAAGGUCAAGAGAAAGAGAGAGGUUCGGAGUUUGUGUCAGUAUCAGAGUGUCCAUGGGGAAGAGGGAGAGAGAAAAAGAGAAAAUAUCUCAAAUAUCCUCUAUCUAUAUCCAAUACGGAGCUUGAUAUGUGAUACCUUGAGUUAUCUGGAUGGUCUCCAAGAAAAAGAAUAUAUAUAUAGGCAAUGGUAGGAGCCUGUUGAGCUUGGAACAUGCGAGGA
Molecule: long non-coding RNA, 355 nt
Filed under: Elaeis guineensis (African oil palm)
Lineage: Eukaryota; Viridiplantae; Streptophyta; Magnoliopsida; Arecales; Arecaceae
Description: long non-coding RNA (EGUI_LNC074317)
Source: RNAcentral